GAGAGUGUUAACAGGAAAUAUUGCUCAUAAUUUUGAGGUUAUAAGAUUAGACCAUUCCAAAGGACCCUGAAUAUUUUAAUCAUAAUUAUCUUGAAAGGCAAAUUUGAGAGAAUACUGUUGACAAAAUAGGGUAAUAAAACAUCUUUUGUCUUUGGGAUGAGCUUGCUUUUAGAUUUUAAAGCGUUAAGAUGUAUGGAACACUGUAAAUAUAGGACAUAGUAUUGGAGCAUGUAGUGGGACUAGUGACAUAAUUUUGUUCAGGAGGAGGUUUGUGAAAGGAGGGAGGGAGAGAGAGAGGGGAGGAGCAUUUGAUGACAGUUCCAUCUAAUCAAGUUACAAGAUUUUGCCAAUAGGGUAGGAAAUUGAAAGGAGUCUGUUUCCAUGUUUAAGUUGAAGCCAACACAGGAACAAACCUAUUUGACUAGAGAUAGGGAUUGCUAUGGCAACGACUGGAUCUCGACUGCACAGUCCAAAGAGCGUAACAUCCUGACGGAUGGCAGUGGCAGAGUGAUAUUUCAGGGUGCACCGCUUGAGGAGGCACAAGCUAAAUAGCUGCAAUGUUAACAAUGGAGCACAUCAGGGCCGGAAGAGCUCCCAGGACCUACCUGAUCACAGGCAGGAGGACGAGAGGCUCAGGACCAAGGACAGCAGCAACUUCAUUGGUACCCUUGGUGAUAGUCUUGUAUUGAGUGUGAAUGCAGCAAAUAGGAGUGAAUUUGAUGUCCAGCCUCCUUGAACUUCAGCCAAA
This 748-nucleotide long non-coding RNA is filed under the name Fukomys damarensis (Damara mole-rat). Its description in RNAcentral is "lncRNA (ENSFDAG00000022246.1)". The record is from RNAcentral. Lineage: Eukaryota; Metazoa; Chordata; Mammalia; Rodentia; Bathyergidae.